Molecule: ribosomal RNA, 2481 nt
Filed under: biofilm metagenome
Description: bacterial LSU rRNA
Rfam family: Bacterial large subunit ribosomal RNA
Source: RNAcentral
GCUAAGUACUCUCUGACGACCGAUAGCGAACUAGUACCGUGAGGGAAAGGUGAAAAGUACCCCGGGAGGGGAGUGAAAUAGUACCUGAAACCACGUGCCUACAAGCGGUUGGAGCUCCCUUCGGGGGGUGACAGCGUGCUUUUUGCAUAACGAGCCUGCGAGUUACUCGUGUCCGGCGAGGUUAAGGAAACGGAGCCGUAGCGAAAGCGAGUCUGAAUAGGGCGAUUCAGUCGGACGCGGUAGACCCGAAACCGAGUGAUCUAUCCAUGGGCAGGUUGAAGCGGGGGUAAGACCUCGUGGAGGACCGAACCCACGUCGGUUGAAAACGGCGGGGAUGACCUGUGGAUCGGAGUGAAAGGCUAAUCAAACUCGGUGAUAUCUGGUUCUCUCCGAAAUAUAUUUUGGUAUAGCCUCCUGCGUUCAGCCGUGGUUGUAGAGCUACUGUUUGGCCUAGGGGCCCCACCAGGUUACCGAAGUCAGAUAAACUCCGAAUGCCACGGCUCCAGAGCAGGGGAGUCAGACAGCGGGGGAUAAGCUUCGUUGUCGAGAGGGAAACAGCCCAGACCACCAGCUAAGGGCCCCAAGCGCUGGCUAAGUGGAAAACGUUGUGCGAGUGCACAGACAACCAGGAUGUUGGCUUAGAGGCAGCCAUUCGUCUAAGGAGUGCGUAAUAGCUCACUGGUCAAGUGCUCGUGCGCGGAUAAUGUAACGGGGCUCAAGCCAGCCCCCGAAGCUGUGGGCGUCGUCCUUCGGGACGGCGCGGUAGGAGAGCGUUCCCCGUGCAGUGAAGCGGCGGCGGCAAGCCAGCCGUGGAGCGCGGGGAAGUGAGAAUGCCGGUAUAAGUAACGAAAGAGGAGUGAGAAACUCCUCCACCGGAUGCCCAAGGUUUCCUGAGUAAAGCUAAUCUGCUCAGGGUUAGUCGGGACCUAAGCCGAGGCCGACAGGCGUAGGCGAUGGCCAACUGGUUGAUAUUCCAGUACCACGUACCCACCGCUAUCACCGAUGGCGGGACGGGGUAGGACAAGGGAUCCCAGGCGAUGGUCGUCCUGGGGUAACCGCGUAGGGCGGGCGAUAGGCAAAUCCGUCGCCCAUUCAGCCUGAGACGGGAAGCCGACCCCAGAGAUGGGGGAAGUCCCUGAAACCAUGCCUCCUAGAAAAGCGUCUAGGGAGGUGGGGCGUGCCCGUACCAAAACCGACACAGGUGGACAGGUAGAGAAUACCAAGGCGAUCGGAAGAACCCUCGUUAAGGAACUCGGCAAAAUGGCCCCGUAACUUCGGGAGAAGGGGCGCCCCAGUAGGGUGAUCGGAUUUACUCCGUGAGCCCGAGGGGGCCGCAGUGAAACGGCCCAAGCGACUGUUUACCAAAAACACAGGUCUCUGCUAAGUCGUAAGACGACGUAUAGGGGCUGACGCCUGCCCGGUGCCGGAAGGUCACGAGGAGAGGUUAGCUUUCGGGCGAAGCCUUGAAUCCAAGCCCCGGUAAACGGCGGCGGUAACUAUAACCGUCCUAAGGUAGCGAAAUUCCUUGUCGGGUAAGUUCCGACCUGCACGAAUGGCGUAACGACUUGGGCGCUGUCUCAACGAGGGAUCCGGUGAAAUUGUAGUCUCGGUGAAGAUGCCGAGUACCCGUGGCUGGACGGAAAGACCCCGUGAACCUUUACUGCAGCUUUGCGUUGAAGUUCGGUAUACGUUGUCCAGGAUAGGUGGGAGACUGUGAACCGGGGGCGUCAGCUCUCGCGGAGUCACCCUUGGGAUACCACCCUUCGUGUUCUGGGCUUCUAACCCGAUUCCGUCAUCCGGGUCGGGGACAGCGUGAGGUGGGCAGUUUGACUGGGGCGGUCGCCUCCUAAAAUGUAACGGAGGCGCGCAAAGGUUCCCUCAGCACGGUUGGAAAUCGUGCGUAGAGCGUAAAGGCAUAAGGGAGCUUGACUGCGAGACUGACAAGUCGAGCAGGGACGAAAGUCGGCCUUAGUGAUCCGGCGGUGGAGAGUGGAAUCGCCGUCGCUCAACGGAUAAAAGGUACUCCGGGGAUAACAGGCUUAUCCUUCCCAAGAGUCCACAUCGACGGAAGGGUUUGGCACCUCGAUGUCGGCUCGUCGCAUCCUGGGGCUGAAGCAGGUCCCAAGGGUUGGGCUGUCCGCCCAUUAAAGCGGCACGCGAGCUGGGUUCAGAACGUCGUGAGACAGUUCGGUCCCUAUCCGCCAUGGGCGUUGGAGGUUUGAGAGGAGUCGUCUCUAGUACGAGAGGACCGAGAUGAACAGGCCUCUGGUGUAGCAGUUGUCCUGCCAAGGGCACCGCUGCUUAGCCACGCCUGGAUGGGAUAACCGCUGAAAGCAUCUAAGCGGGAAGCCCACCUCGAGAUGAGACCUCCCAUCCCCUCGAGGGAGUAAGGGCCGUGGAAGACCACCACGUCGAUAGGCGGCACGUGUACGCGCAGCAAUGCGCUCAGCGGAGCCGUACUAAUUGCCCGAGGUCUUGAUU